AGGAUGAACGCUGGCGGCGUGCUUAACACAUGCAAGUCGAACGGUGAAGUGAGGAGCUUGCUCCUUGCGGAUCAGUGGCGAACGGGUGAGUAACACGUGAGUAACCUGCCCUUGACUCUGGGAUAAGCACUGGAAACGGUGUCUAAUACCGGAUACGACCUCCGAAGGCAUCUUCUGGAAGUGGAAAGAAUUUCGGUCAAGGAUGGACUCGCGGCCUAUCAGCUAGUUGGUGAGGUAACGGCCCACCAAGGCGACGACGGGUAGCCGGCCUGAGAGGGUGACCGGCCACACUGGGACUGAGACACGGCCCAGACUCCUACGGGAGGCAGCAGUGGGGAAUAUUGCACAAUGGGCGCAAGCCUGAUGCAGCAACGCCGCGUGAGGGACGACGGCCUUCGGGUUGUAAACCUCUUUUAGUAGGGAAGAAGCGAAGUGACGGUACCUGCAGAAAAGCACCGGCUAACUACGUGCCAGCAGCCGCGGU
This 484-nucleotide ribosomal RNA is filed under the name uncultured bacterium. Its description in RNAcentral is "SSU rRNA". It matches the Rfam family "Bacterial small subunit ribosomal RNA", at positions 26 to 521 of the family's 1533-position model. The record is from RNAcentral.